GAUGAAGAACGCAGCGAAAUGCGAUAAGUAGUGUGAAUUGCAGAAUUCAGUGAAUCAUCGAAUCUUUGAACGCACAUUGCGCCCCUUGGUAUCCCGAGGGGCAUGCCUGUUCGAGCGUCAUUUCACCACUCAAGCCUGGCUUGGUGUUGGGCGACGUCCCCUUUGGGGACGCGCCUCGAAACGCUCGGCGGCGUGGCACCGGCUUUAAGCGUAGCAGAAUCUUUCGCUUUGGAAGUCGGGGCCCCGUCUGCCGGAAGACCUACUCGCAAGGUUGACCUCGGAUCAGGGAGGGAUACCCGCUGAACUUAAGCAUAUCAAUAAGCGGAGGA
RNAcentral lists this unclassified non-coding RNA (329 nucleotides) under soil metagenome. RNAcentral's name for it is "partial contains 5.8S ribosomal RNA, internal transcribed spacer 2, and large subunit ribosomal RNA". The stretch from base 1 to 120 matches the Rfam family "5.8S ribosomal RNA", at positions 35 to 154 of the family's 154-position model. The record is from RNAcentral.